ACUUAAAUUGAAGAGUUUGAUCAUGGCUCAGAUUGAACGCUGGCGGCAGGCCUAACACAUGCAAGUCGAGCGGUAGCACAGAGAGCUUGCUCUCGGGUGACGAGCGGCGGACGGGUGAGUAAUGUCUGGGAAACUGCCUGAUGGAGGGGGAUAACUACUGGAAACGGUAGCUAAUACCGCAUAACGUCGCAAGACCAAAGUGGGGGACCUUCGGGCCUCAUGCCAUCAGAUGUGCCCAGAUGGGAUUAGCUAGUAGGUGGGGUAACGGCUCACCUAGGCGACGAUCCCUAGCUGGUCUGAGAGGAUGACCAGCCACACUGGAACUGAGACACGGUCCAGACUCCUACGGGAGGCAGCAGUGGGGAAUAUUGCACAAUGGGCGCAAGCCUGAUGCAGCCAUGCCGCGUGUGUGAA
Molecule: ribosomal RNA, 414 nt
Filed under: Klebsiella pneumoniae
Lineage: Bacteria; Pseudomonadati; Pseudomonadota; Gammaproteobacteria; Enterobacterales; Enterobacteriaceae
Description: bacterial SSU rRNA
Rfam family: Bacterial small subunit ribosomal RNA
Source: RNAcentral